Molecule: ribosomal RNA, 106 nt
Filed under: Apochloa euprepes
Lineage: Eukaryota; Viridiplantae; Streptophyta; Magnoliopsida; Poales; Poaceae
Description: partial 18S ribosomal RNA
Rfam family: Eukaryotic small subunit ribosomal RNA
Source: RNAcentral
CGGUUCGCCACCCCCGACGUCGCGAGAAGUCCAUUGAACCUUAUCAUUUAGAGGAAGGAGAAGUCGUAACAAGGUUUCCGUAGGUGAACCUGCGGAAGGAUCAUUG